This 821-nucleotide unclassified non-coding RNA is filed under the name uncultured Stereum. RNAcentral describes it as "sequence contains ITS1, 5.8S rRNA gene and ITS2". The stretch from base 300 to 453 matches the Rfam family "5.8S ribosomal RNA". The record is from RNAcentral. Lineage: Eukaryota; Fungi; Basidiomycota; Agaricomycetes; Russulales; Stereaceae.
AAGUCGUAACAAGGUUUCCGUAGGUGAGCCUGCGGAAGGAUCAUUAUUGAAUGAACUUGGUCGGGCUGAUGCUGGUCUCUCCUUGGAGGGGCAUGUGCACGCCUGGCACCAUCUUCUUUUACCACCUGUGCACCUUUUGUAGACUGUGGGGACUACCUUUCCGAGGUCAAACUCGGUUGAAAGGAUUGCUGAUGCCAGCUUUCCUUUGCCUGUCUUCUUGUCUAUGCCUUUUUUUUUUUAUCACAAAUGUAUGACAAUGAAUGUUAUGUUGGGCAUUAUUGCCUUUAAAAACCUAAUACAACUUUCAACAACGGAUCUCUUGGCUCUCGCAUCGAUGAAGAACGCAGCGAAAUGCGAUAAGUAAUGUGAAUUGCAGAAUUCAGUGAAUCAUCGAAUCUUUGAACGCACCUUGCGCUCCUUGGUAUUCCGAGGAGCAUGCCUGUUUGAGUAUCAUGAAAUUCUCAACCUUGCUUUUGCAUCUGUGAAAUCAAGGUUGGAUUGUGGGGGACUUUUUUGCAGGCUUCAAAUCGAAGUCUGCUCUCCUGAAAUAUAUUAGCAGAGUUGCAUGAACAGCUUUUUAUUGGUGUGAUAAUCAUCUAUGCCAUGGGCUGUGAAAGCGAGUUUGCCUUCCAAUUUUAACAUCCGUUAUUCAUGACUUUUUGAUCUCAAAUCAGGUAGGACUACCCGCUGAACUUAAGCAUAUCAAUAAGCGGAGGAAAAGAAACUAACAAGGAUUCCCCUAGUAACUGCGAGUGAAGCGGGAAGAGCUCAAAUUUAAAAUCUGGCAAUCCUUGUGGUUGUCCGAGUUGUAAUCUAGAGAA